Molecule: long non-coding RNA, 1255 nt
Filed under: Homo sapiens (human)
Lineage: Eukaryota; Metazoa; Chordata; Mammalia; Primates; Hominidae
Description: HSALNT0160504
Source: RNAcentral
CAGGACUCUCACACGGACAGAGGCAUCACCUCCCAAAAGAAGUCCGUGUCAUAAAGGGUCCCUUGGUUGUGGGGUUUAAUGACAUGAAACUAUUCUAUUCACCUCCAGGGCUAAGGAAGUAUCUUUUGAUUUAUUGCACUGUUCUAAACACUAUGUAAUUAGAUGAGCUUGGAACUCUGCAAGGGGGGCAGUUUGUAGUGCAGAUCCGUUUCCCACUGAAGUGCAUGGAGGCUGCAGGAGCGGAGGUGAAGGGGAUGGAGAGGUGGAGUCUUUCUAUGUUGCCCAGGCUGGUCUCAAACUUCUGACUUCAAGUGAUCCUCCUGCGUUGGCCUCCCGAAGUGCUGGGAUUACAGUCGUAAACCACCACUCCUGGAUUAUCCUUUACUAAUUUCAUUCAUAGAUGAGAGAUUGGGAGAAGAAAGAGGAAACUGCCACUUAUUUUCCACAUAAGUGUCAUCUUCAAGGUGGAGCGAAAGAUGACAUUGCUGGUGAGAUGUUCAGCACUCUUUGGUCACGUUGGAAAAAAAUUGUAUUCGGUUGUCAGAGAUGAAGAAUUGUUAAAAACAAAAUCUUUUUUAUUCCUCCUAAAGACAUUACAGCUCACAAAAUCUCUGAUAGCUUCCUGUAGCAUGUAUUUUACUAUUCAAGGAGACAAUUGAAUGGGUUUAUUUCUUCUUAUGUUACAUCUCAGCUUUAAUAAGUAAUGUCUGGCUGGGUGCGGCGGCUCAUGCCUGUAAUCCCGGCACUUUGGGAGGCAGAGGCGGGAAGAUCACCAGAGGUCCGGAGUUCAAGACUAGCCUGGCCAACAUGGUGAAACCCCGUUUCUACUAAAAAUACAAAAAUAAAAUUAAAAUAAAAAUAGGUGAUGUCUUUGAGCUAAUUUAUGCUCUCCAUACCUUAUGAUCAUCUAGCUGUGUGUUGGCAAGUCCAGGAUGGUGGCUUUUGACGAACUGUGCUUUAAGGCAAACCAUGGAGUAGAGAAAGAUGGACAGCAGAGGAUUUGGGGCUUUAAUGGGCACACAGCCUGCUUAGGAGGAAGCUCAUUAGUCUGGAGCUCCUGCCCCUUGUCUUUGUGAAGCCAUUACUGGUCCCCUGGUAUGCUGCUCAUAGGCAAGGCAAAAGAAAUUUAUAGGAAUCAAAGCUUAUAGAAACAGCAACAACUUUAAGAGUCAGUUUGUUUAACCAAAUUAAAAUUGUUCUUUUUUUCUUCCUCCAUUCCCAGAAGUGCAUUUCUAUUUCCACUGAGUUAAUAAAG